ACGGGAGGCAGCAGUGGGGAAUAUUGGGCAAUGGGCGAAAGCCUGACCCAGCAACGCCGCGUGAGGGAAGAAGGUCUUCGGAUUGUAAACUUCUUUUAUGAGGGACGAAGGACGUGACGGCACCUCAUGAAUAAGCCACGGCUAACUACGUGCCAGCAGCCGCGGUAAUACGUAGGUGGCGAGCGUUAUCCGGAUUUACUGGGUGUAAAGGGCGCGUAGGCGGGGAUGCAAGUCAGAUGUGAAAUCUAUGGGCUUAACCCAUAAACUGCAUUUGAAACUGUAUUUCUUGAGUGCUGGAGAGGUAGAUGGAAUUCCUUGUGUAGCGGUGAAAUGCGUAGAUAUAAGGAAGAACACCAGUGGCGAAGGCGAUCUACUGGACAGUAACUGACACUGAGGCUCGAAAGCGUGGGGAUCAAACAGGAUUAGAUACCCUGGUA
This is a ribosomal RNA of 437 nucleotides. It matches the Rfam family "Bacterial small subunit ribosomal RNA", at positions 341 to 792 of the family's 1533-position model.